This 426-nucleotide long non-coding RNA is filed under the name Citrus x clementina. RNAcentral describes it as "Citrus clementina (C. clementina) long non-coding RNA (CCLE_LNC005286)". The record is from RNAcentral. Lineage: Eukaryota; Viridiplantae; Streptophyta; Magnoliopsida; Sapindales; Rutaceae.
AUUGUUGAGGGAACAUAACCCAGCAAGACAGCAGAAACACAAUGAAUGGCUCAGAAGUCCAUACGGAUGUAUAACAGGUAAUUGCCAAACACCAAAAAGCAUGGUGUCGACUUCAUCUUCAACUAUUAUACAGGCCAAGGAAAGACAAUCGCUAUAAUGCAACCUAAAUUAUUGAGGGAAUAUAACAGGUAUCAGGUAAUUGCCAAUUGUUGAGCAAACAUUACCCAGCAAGAUAGCAGAAACACAAUGAAUGGCUCUGGAGUCCAUCUGGACGUAUAACAGGUAAUUGCCUAAGCGCAUGGUGUAGAGUUCGUCAUCAACUAUUAUACAGGCCAGGGAAAGACAAUCACUAUUAGGUUACAAGAAGAUAAUUUCUUUCCUGUUUUCUGAAACUGGCAAAAGAUAAUUUCUGGUCUCAUUGAGACU